AGUUGCUGGGUCAUGUUGGCAGUGAACUGGGUGCCCUGGUGCGAGAGAAUCUCACGGGGAAAACCCAUCCGAGAGAACACUCACAUUAGGGCUUCAGCUACCAUCUCUGCCUGAAUAUUGCUCAGGGUGACUGCCUUGGGGUACCGAGUCACGUAAUCCACAAUGGUCAGAAUGUACUUCUUACCAGAGAGACUAGGCUUGGCUAGGGGACCUAUAAUGUUGACAGCUAUUCUGCCAAACGGAUCUUCGAUAAUAGGUAAGGGAUGGAGGGGAGCCCUAUG
Molecule: non-coding RNA, 281 nt
Organism: Pelobates cultripes (western spadefoot toad)
Lineage: Eukaryota; Metazoa; Chordata; Amphibia; Anura; Pelobatidae
Source: the annotation of a GenBank genome assembly